GCCCUUGCUCCGGGGUGCACGUGUGCGUGCUGAGACGGCGGAAUCAACCGCCGGAACCGCGAACUUGAUCUGGUUAGUACCAGCGUAAGAAGAGCUGCAGUCGACAGG
This 108-nucleotide non-coding RNA is filed under the name Acidovorax sp. Leaf160. Its description in RNAcentral is "TPP riboswitch aptamer (THI element)". It matches the Rfam family "TPP riboswitch aptamer (THI element)". Rfam says of the family: Vitamin B(1) in its active form thiamin pyrophosphate (TPP) is an essential coenzyme that is synthesised by coupling of pyrimidine and thiazole moieties in bacteria. The previously detected thiamin-regulatory element, thi box was extended, resulting in a new, highly conserved RNA secondary structure, the THI element, which is widely distributed in eubacteria and also occurs in some archaea. Lineage: Bacteria; Pseudomonadati; Pseudomonadota; Betaproteobacteria; Burkholderiales; Comamonadaceae. The record is from Rfam by way of RNAcentral. RNAcentral also lists the same sequence under 1 other name.